RNAcentral lists this ribosomal RNA (433 nucleotides) under uncultured bacterium. RNAcentral describes it as "bacterial SSU rRNA". It matches the Rfam family "Bacterial small subunit ribosomal RNA", at positions 355 to 786 of the family's 1533-position model. The record is from RNAcentral.
UGAGGAAUAUUGGUCAAUGGGCGAGAGCCUGAACCAGCCAAGUCGCGUGAGGGAAGACGGUCCUACGGAUUGUAAACCUCUUUUGUCGGGGAGCAAUAAAGCGUACGCGUACGCAGAUGCGAGUACCCGAAGAAAAGCAUCGGCUAACUCCGUGCCAGCAGCCGCGGUAAUACGGAGGAUGCGAGCGUUAUCCGGAUUUAUUGGGUUUAAAGGGUGCGCAGGCGGAAAGUGCAAGUCAGCGGUCAAACGACGGGGCUCAACCCCGUCUCGCCGUUGAAACUGCCUUUCUAGAGUGAGCGAGAAGUAUGCGGAAUGCGUGGUGUAGCGGUGAAAUGCAUAGAUAUCACGCAGAACUCCGAUUGCGAAGGCAGCAUACCGGCGCUCAACUGACGCUCAUGCACGAAAGCGUGGGUAUCGAACAGGAUUAGAUACC